This 342-nucleotide ribosomal RNA is filed under the name uncultured Glomeromycotina. RNAcentral describes it as "eukaryotic LSU rRNA". Lineage: Eukaryota; Fungi; Glomeromycota. The record is from RNAcentral.
UCCAGCCUUUUAGGUGCGAUUUCUGUGGGGUUUGAGGAGCUUAACACCUUCAUGCUUUGCAUAUUCGUGCUCUUGGGUGUACUUGCCCGUGUGGUUGGUUAACAUCAAUUUUGGUGGUCAUAAAAUGACUGGAGGAAUGUAGCUUCGAUCUUGUAUUGAAGUGUUAUAGCCUUCGGUAGAUGUGAUGAUCGAGAUUGAGGAUUGCAGCGGAUACCCUUCGGGGCUACCUGUCUGGUCUCUGAUCGUUGCUCUGGUGCCGAAAGCUUGCUUACGGUUAUCAAAGUCGAUGGUCAAUAGGUUAGAACGGGUUAAAUUCGUUAAGGAUGUUGACGUAAUGGCUUU